AACGGCCGUACCAUGCUGAAUAUACCGGUUCUCGUUUAGAUCACGAAGUCAAGCAUCAUUGGGCGUGGUCAGUACUUGGGUGGGUGACCACCUGGGAACACCGCGUGCCGUU
This 112-nucleotide ribosomal RNA is filed under the name Caerostris darwini. The record is from RNAcentral. Lineage: Eukaryota; Metazoa; Arthropoda; Arachnida; Araneae; Araneidae.